GACGAACCGUGCGAACGUUGUUCGGAAUCACUGGGCUUAAAGGGCGCGUAGGUGGUCUGUCAAGUCAAGGGUGAAAUCUUUCGGCUCAAUCGGAAAACUGCCUUCGAUACUGGCAGGCUAGAGGGAGAUAGGGGUUGCGGGAACUACCAGUGGAGCGGUGAAAUGCGUUGAUAUUGGUAGGAACGCCGGUGGCGAAAGCGCGCAACUGGACCUCUUCUGACACUGAGGCGCGAAAGCUAGGGGAGCAAACGGG
This 253-nucleotide ribosomal RNA is filed under the name uncultured bacterium. RNAcentral describes it as "partial 16S ribosomal RNA". It matches the Rfam family "Bacterial small subunit ribosomal RNA", at positions 524 to 776 of the family's 1533-position model. The record is from RNAcentral.